Molecule: ribosomal RNA, 464 nt
Filed under: uncultured Rhodocyclaceae bacterium
Lineage: Bacteria; Pseudomonadati; Pseudomonadota; Betaproteobacteria; Rhodocyclales; Rhodocyclaceae
Description: partial 16S ribosomal RNA
Rfam family: Bacterial small subunit ribosomal RNA
Source: RNAcentral
CCUACGGGUGGCAGCAAUUAGGAAUCUUGCGCAAUGGGGGAAACCCUGACGCAGCGACGCCGCGUGCAGGACGAAGGCCUUCGGGUUGUAAAGCUCUUUCGGCAGGAACGAAACGGCGGACUCUAACAUAGUCUGUCAAUGACGGUACCUGAAGAAGAAGCACCGGCUAACUACGUGCCAGCAGCCGCGGUAAUACGUAGGGUGCGAGCGUUAAUCGGAAUUACUGGGCGUAAAGCGUGCGCAGGCGGCUUUGUAAGACGGAUGUGAAAUCCCUGGGCUUAACCUAGGAACGGCGUUCGUGACUGCAAGGCUAGAGUGCGGCAGAGGGGGGUGGAAUUCCUGGUGUAGCAGUGAAAUGCGUAGAGAUCAGGAGGAACACCGAUGGCGAGGGCAGCCCCCUGGGUUGGCACUGACGCUCAUGCACGAAAGCGUGGGGAGCAAACAGGAUUAGAUACCCCUGUAGU